GAUGAACGCUGGCGGCGUGCCUAAUACAUGCAAGUCGAGCGAACAGACGAGGAGCUUGCUCCUUUGACGUUAGCGGCGGACGGGUGAGUAACACGUGGGUAACCUACCUAUAAGACUGGGAUAACUUCGGGAAACCGGAGCUAAUACCGGAUAAUAUUUCGAACCGCAUGGUUCGAUAGUGAAAGAUGGCUCUGCUAUCACUUAUAGAUGGACCUGCGCCGUAUUAGCUAGUUGGUAAGGUAACGGCUUACCAAGGCAACGAUACGUAGCCGACCUGAGAGGGUGAUCGGCCACACUGGAACUGAGACACGGUCCAGACUCCUACGGGAGGCAGCAGUAGGGAAUCUUCCGCAAUGGGCGAAAGCCUGACGGAGCAACGCCGCGUGAGUGAUGAAGGUCUUCGGAUCGUAAAACUCUGUUAUUAGGGAAGAACAAACGUGUAAGUAACUGUGCACGUCUUGACAGUACCUAAUCAGAAAGCCACGGCUAACUACGUG
RNAcentral lists this ribosomal RNA (497 nucleotides) under uncultured bacterium. RNAcentral's name for it is "partial 16S ribosomal RNA". It matches the Rfam family "Bacterial small subunit ribosomal RNA", at positions 28 to 507 of the family's 1533-position model. The record is from RNAcentral.